GGCGACAAUGUCAAGCCUACAUUUUGAUAUCAGAGAGGACCAGUGGCCGUUAGUUUAUGACGAAAAGUAUAAUGUGUCCUUCUGCGGCUUUGAGAAGUUUCAUAUAUUUGAUGCAAAGAAAUGGCGUAACAUAAUACAGUACUUACCUCGUUU
This is an RNA transcript of Bicyclus anynana (squinting bush brown), 153 nucleotides long. RefSeq lists it as uncharacterized. The transcript has 3 exons. Lineage: Eukaryota; Metazoa; Arthropoda; Insecta; Lepidoptera; Nymphalidae. The record is from RefSeq and is a predicted model, not a curated record.